Molecule: long non-coding RNA, 1022 nt
Organism: Fundulus heteroclitus (mummichog)
Lineage: Eukaryota; Metazoa; Chordata; Actinopteri; Cyprinodontiformes; Fundulidae
Exons: 4
Source: RefSeq, a predicted model, not a curated record
GUUUAAAAAAGAAAAAGAAAACAUUGAGUAUAUUUUCAGUGACCUCUUUACAGCAACAAAGGAGGCUGCAGAUCGAUUCGUUACACCUUUUUAGCGAGGCUUCUGGUGAAGGGGAGGGGCUCUGAAGCCUCUGGAGACUCCAUUAAUAGCCUCCUCUCCGUCCUAACUAUUAUACACCAUAAAGUGUUUAUAAAGAGCACCCAACUUGAGCUGUAAUAUGUUGUUUCAAACGAGGCAGUGUGAAGGCGGAGAGGGUGGUUAAGAAGAGAGGGAGAGAAAGAGUAGAGGGGAGAUCAGAUUAUUUUCUCUUGAAAUAAGCACUUGGAUGGCAUGAAAUCUAGCGCUGUGCGUAUCACGCAUCGGACUUUUUUUUCCUCCCCUUUCUUAUUCCUUCAGCUUCGUGGAUUCCGCUGUGCAGAAACGGAGUCGAAAACUUUCCCCGAUUCUAAUUCUGCCCUGACACGAACACGCAAAGGAGAAAAGGUACUGCAGAGAAGUCCUGCAUGCAGGAUGUCGGAUUAGAUAUCCCCCCUGAUCAAUGACGCUGCUGCUCUAAGAGAAACGACAACACCUGGAACCACGCAGAUCCUCCUGACUUGGCGCUAAAUUCUCUGUAUUUGUCAGCCAUUUGAAGAAGACGGUCACCGUUCCUGAGUCUGGUUCUGCAUGUUCUUUUCUGACGAAAGAUCAGUUUUUCCAGAAUAAAUUACUUGACUGAAUUUGUCUUCAUCAACUGAUACAGAUCUUUUUUGGCUUUAAAUCAGACUUAUUUGCAAUAAUUUGGAUUGUAAUUUGAUUUCAAUUGAAAUCUGACCACUCUAGAAUAAAUUGGAUUAAACGUAACUUGACUUAAAUUUGGAUGUUGCUCAUGGUCUUCGUAUAAAAUAUAACACUUGUUAAUAUGCAAUAAAUGGCAUAUCCAAUUGUACCAAUAGAAUUUGUAUAACAAUGCAAUAUUGUUAUUACUUUUAAAUCUUGUAAAUGUGUUGCCUUAUUUUCUAAUAAAAUACAUUUGAUCUCUG